RNAcentral lists this ribosomal RNA (527 nucleotides) under uncultured bacterium. RNAcentral's name for it is "bacterial SSU rRNA". It matches the Rfam family "Bacterial small subunit ribosomal RNA", at positions 8 to 526 of the family's 1533-position model. The record is from RNAcentral.
AGAGUUUGAUCAUGGCUCAGAUUGAACGCUGGCGGCAGGCCUAACACAUGCAAGUCGAGCGGUAACACAGGGAGCUUGCUCCUGGGUGACGAGCGGCGGACGGGUGAGUAAUGUCUGGGAAACUGCCCGAUGGAGGGGGAUAACUACUGGAAACGGUAGCUAAUACCGCAUAACGUCGCAAGACCAAAGAGGGGGACCUUCGGGCCUCUUGCCAUCGGAUGUGCCCAGAUGGGAUUAGCUAGUUGGUGAGGUAAUGGCUCACCAAGGCGACGAUCCCUAGCUGGUCUGAGAGGAUGAUCAGCCACACUGGGACUGAGACACGGCCCAGACUCCUACGGGAGGCAGCAGUGGGGAAUAUUGCACAAUGGGCGCAAGCCUGAUGCAGCCAUGCCGCGUGUAUGAAGAAGGCCUUCGGGUUGUAAAGUACUUUCAGCGAGGAGGAAGGCAUUAAGGUUAAUAACCUUAGUGAUUGACGUUACUCGCAGAAGAAGCACCGGCUAACUCCGUGCCAGCCGCCGCGGUAAUUC